AACGAACGCUGGCGGCAUGCCUAACACAUGCAAGUCGAACGUGAUCCGGGGCUUCGGCUCCGGUGAAAGUGGCGGACGGGUGAGUAACGCGUGGGAACCUGCCCAGUGGUAGGGGAUAACCGCGGGAAACUGCGGCUAAUACCCUAUGCGCCCUAUGGGGCAAAGAUUUAUCGCCAUUGGAGGGGCCCGCGUCGGAUUAGGUAGUUGGUGAGGUAACGGCUCACCAAGCCUUCGAUCCGUAGCUGGCUGAGAGGAUGAUCAGCCACACUGGGACUGAGACACGGCCCAGACUCCUACGGGAGGCAGCAGUGGGGAGUAUUGGACAAUGGGGGCAACCCUGAUCCAGCAAUGCCGCGUGAGUGAUGAAGGCCUUAGGGUUGUAAAGCUCUUUUCGGCGGGGGAAGAUGAUGACGGUACCCGCAGAAGAAG
Molecule: ribosomal RNA, 429 nt
Filed under: uncultured bacterium
Lineage: Bacteria
Description: bacterial SSU rRNA
Rfam family: Bacterial small subunit ribosomal RNA
Source: RNAcentral